UUGUCAUCACAUCGGGAAGCGGACAUCCACGUUCACCGGUGCUCAGGACCAUGGAUCUGCCUGCAGCAAUGCAGUCCGAAAAAUAAACACCCCCUCGCUGCUUUUAUGAUGAUCCAUGGAGCUGAGAAGGACGCUGGUAUCAUCUUUGCUUGGUAUUUCAUCGGGCCGAGUGCGGCAGCGACCGGGAAAGACAGUUAGAGUAUUCAUAGUGAGUGUGGACGACCAGAAGCUCGACAGCGAACCUCAUUUUGCGAGAAGGAUUUAGCAGAAACGCAAUAGCAGUCCCCUCAGCACAGCUGGAAAACGCCAUUCAUUCCUAUUCACAUUAGAUGCCGCUGAAUUACAAAAAGAGGAUGGACAGACAACGUUGGAAGAAGGAGGAGCUUGAAAGAGCAACGCAGGCCAUCGAGAACGGAUUUUCUUUGACCAAGCAUCAAAAGUGUUUGAAAAUGCUCGACCAGCAGUGAAAAGAUUCAUGCAGAGUUCGAGAUGGUGUCAAUCCAACUUUUCUGGUCUGGAAUCUGGCGAACACUCCUGCUAUCGAUCCCAAAACAUUUUUACUGAUUGUAACAUUAUCCCAAAAUACUUUACAUAAACAUAAGUAUGUUUUUUUUCGAUGAAACACACACUGGACCAAAUCUCCCCGCAUCAAAUUUUAAUGUCCAAAAAUCAUCACUUUUAUUUUAUGAUAUAUUUGGUAGAUUGAAGCUUCAUAUAAUGAUUAAACAUUAUUUAUUGAGAGAAAACAAGUGUAGCUCAGUAUAUAGUGUGACAUUUUUUAUUUAGACCGUAUAGGUUUGGAAAAAUUAGGCAAUUUGCUUAGGUGGUCCAAAUUCCCCCCUUUUCCCCUAGAUAAAUUCCAUAGUGAACCUCACAAGUUAUAACCAGAAAGAAUCCACAUUCACUUACAAUCUCAAACUGGCUAUAGAUUAGGAUAGAGAAUCAAAUGUCUAGUAAUAAAAUCAUAGAAUGAAUCAGAUUGUACACACUUCUAAUAUAUAUUACCAAAAUCCUGUAAAGUAAAUUUCAGAUGCUACUUAUAUUUUCAUUAAAAAUUAACGACAUCAAUUAAGUUGUAGUGUGAAUGUGACUGAUGUGAAUUCCAAGAAUCAAUACAUUUCAGACAACACAACAUUAAAAAAUAUUAAUAAGAGAGUACGAAUGCAUUAUAUACAUUCUAAAAUUAGAAUAUGUUCGUCUUGCUGUUGAUUUGUUUCGACAUAUUUGGCUAGUCUAAUGUCUGCUAGUUGAUAUUCGUAAAUAUGUGGAAAAAUAUUUGCUAGUUGAUGUUCGUCUAAAAAAAUAUUGAUCAUUUUUUGCUAUUGAUAAAAUUCGACUCACAUGUACGUGCAAACUCGAAAAACUUUCACCUCUGAAUAGAAACCACAAUUGAGUACUAACAAUAAAAUAAAACAAGCGCUAGGCGCUAUUUCGCUUUCCUAAUGAAAAUGACGCAUGUAACAGUACAUUAAGA
Molecule: long non-coding RNA, 1474 nt
Organism: Toxorhynchites rutilus septentrionalis
Lineage: Eukaryota; Metazoa; Arthropoda; Insecta; Diptera; Culicidae
Exons: 3
Source: RefSeq, a predicted model, not a curated record